AGGCAUCCUCUUGAACUAGGUGUAACGCAUACGCUCUUGCAGAGGACAGGAGACGAACUCUCCGCUAGAUUUGCUGUCUAUUAUUUCUAACUGCUGAUGCCUACACACAAAGCAAAUGUUAGUAAAAUAAUAUUAAGUGUUAUUAAAAAUAAAUAAAUAAAAAUAAUAAUAAAAGCAGCUUAGAAGUGGAAAAUCAGCAUCUGGGAGUUAGGAGCUGCGCAGAUUAAACUUGGCCACGCAGUUUUUGGUCAGCUCCUUUUUGGGAGGCUGCCUUACGGCGUGCCUUUAAGCCAGGAAAGCUCUGUUGGAGGACAUCAAGGUUGCCUCUGGGUGCACAAAUCCUACCCCCUUCGAGUGUGAGGAAUUAAACCCGCUCGCCUUAGCACCCCAGAACCGCAAACAAAACCGUGUAGCUUCACCUGUUGGCUCGCUCACCCACCCGCAAGUUUACGUACGGCGCAAAUUUACCACCCGGUUUGAAGGCUGCAGUAAAUCUCCCCAUCGCGGAUUCCAGCGAGAAGGAAGAGAGUGAGAAAACGGUACGCUUGGAGUGCAUCCACCGAGACAUGGAGUUGUUCAGCUAUCUUUUGCAAGGAGCAAUGCUCUCCCCAAAAAAUCAAAAAUCUCAGAAGUCGGGAGCAAAUUAGAACCGCUUCAGAACCUGACUUCAGUAUUUCACAAAUCUCAUGCAAGAUCAAAAUAGUCAUAGAGCGAUUCUUCACGCUGGGGAGCAAAUUUCUUUGCAAUCCCUUUUCAUCCCUGCCAAGUGCUGAGUUGUUUCUGUGUCAUCUGACUACAUCAGGCAGCAGCAGUCAUUUAGCACAUGUUGAGCACAGGGCAUGGACGCCUCUUCGCAACCAGGAGGAGAUAUUAAGGACAUUACACAAAAGAAAUUGUUAGCUAUGCUAAAACAAGUUGUGACAGGGGAAAAAUAAGGAAGCACAACGCAAAUUAUAAGGCAGAUAUAAACAGAAGUCAGAAGGCAUGCACGUCUGAAUCAGAGCACACAUAGCUUGACUCAUGAAGUCCGUUUGCCUUAAUUCAGUAUAUUGUGCCAGCACUGUUGACUAAUAUGGGACAAUUUGUUCAUCAUUUCAAUCUCAAAUCAGAUUCCAGAUACCAAAAUAAUAUUUCUGAGGAAAGUAAUAAAGCCAAUCCCCCACGUGCUCCUUUUCUUCUCCAUGUUACCUUCGCAUAACACUGAAGUUAACCCUUUUAUUGCACUUUCCCCUCCUCAUGGAUAUUUCAUAAAUCCUUCAUCUCCCUUUUCACAGGCCACUGUUUGUCUGUUUAAGGGAACAGACAGGUAAGAACAGUCCAGAGCAGAAAGGACAGGAGUAGAACUGAAACACCCUAGAGAGAAUUUAGGAUGAGUUGGAAUAAUUCAGUCAACAGAAGCAAAAUACUUUGUAAUUCUGGAAUUGUUUGGCCUUGCCAUGGUGUCUUUCAGACCUGGUUUCUCACCUAACUGUCCGGAAUGGUACAGAGUUUUGUGUGCAUCUCCAGCCCACAAAGCCAAUGGACUGCAGCUCCUCCUGUCUGCUUCUUACAGUUAUUCUUCAUGUAAGAAAUGAAGAACUGAAUGUCAGCAUUACAUAAAGCAAGAGUGCACAGUGUGGUUGCCCACAGAAUACUAAAGGAAUCAGAAUUUGCAGCAAAAUUGUCAAUUUUACAAAACCUGCUGGAUUUGCAUUGCAGUUGGCAGUCUCGAGAAAUAGUGUGUUACUGCCUCUACACCUGCUUUUACUCCACUAAGCCCAUGCCUUCUGCAGCUGGUUCCUUUUAUUCUCCAGCUCACGCAAUGAAGAGAUCCUUGCUUUGAGAAACAGAGCAAUAAAGCAGCGUAUCUUCCUAUUCUUUCAACUAAGAGCAGGUUCUAUGGGCUCCCCUCCAUUGCUAACACAGUAGAUAAAUACAACCAAUGCUGCCAGGACUUUCAUAUCUGAAUAAGCCCUCAAUGGUCUGACCUGAAUGUGUGGAAAUCAAGGCCCACAGAUACACAGACAAAUAAUGCACUGUACCCUGAUAGAAAUAUCACCACAAGGGCAAAUGAUUCAUUAGCAAGGCUAAAGCAUUUACACCAUUUAAAAAAUUCCACUGCUGCCAUGUGAACAUCUUUUGCAAGUCCACACUCAACUGCUGACACCAUGAAUGAAGAGCCUAACUCAUGUAAGAGAUUCCUGGCUUCUUGUUUCUGAAGUGGUUGAUGUACAGUAGACUAAUGAAAACAAAAGAGAAGCUAAAACAGGGGAGAGAAUUCUAAAAUACAGGUAUAUAGUCCCUGUCUCUUUCUGGCUGGUAAUAUCUUAAAAAAAACUGAUCAACCCUUGGUUUGAGUUGGAUCUUUCACAGGGGAUUUGCACACUCAAGCCAAAUCACACACAAGGGAAAUGAAGCACAGCUGGCAGAUGUACUCUCCAUAUUCUGCCUUACAGAAGCUACCUUAAAACUUUUUGAAACAAAAGCAGAUUGUUUUCUCUCGGAUCGCUGUAUUACUUAGGAUCAAACUUUUAACUGAAAACAAACCGAAUUUUCCUUUUUAAUAUUUCUCCACAGCCCACAGGUUGGGAAUGACUGAAGUGAAGAAAGCUCUAAAAAAGGGAAUGAGAAGAACCCAUUGACUGGGAUUUUAAUUUGCCUCCCCCAGAAAAUUUGGCUCGCGAAUGCAUCUGCAUAUAUUUGCUCCUUUCUCUCUUUUUUCCUCACUUCUAAAAAUAAAGAUUUCUUGCCAAACCAUACGAAAGAAAUUUAGCUACUGCAAAGAGAGGUUUUUCAAAAGAUUCGUUUCUCUGAAUUAAUUAAAAUGAGAUGAGAUGGGGUUGCAGAAGUUCUUUCAUUUGUGAGCAGGAACCUAAGCAGUAAUACAGACUGACGCCUUUCAGCGUACACAACAGCACACCCAGUUUACUCAUGCAUUUUCCACAGAGGCUUCUCCUUGUAAACUCAUAGGUUAAGUCCAGGCUUAGAACUGCUUGUACGUGAAGACUUUAAAAUCCAGCAGAAGUUCAAAAUCCUGGAACCCAGACAACUGUGAAACUACUAUGAAACUGCAAUGAAGGAACACCUCCACCACUAUGUAUCUCCACUUAACUAAGAUGAUUUCAUUAUGAGAGGCUGUAGUAUUGACAUACCUUGUGCUUGCCUCUUACUCCUACCCAUUUCUCUGGAUUUAUACAAGCUUUCUUUUACAAUUGUAUUCAUAUCACAUAUCCCACAUAUUUCUCAUCCUGUCAGAGUUGAAAUACAGAACUCAAAAAAUAAUGGGGAGAAAAGAACAAAAUGAUGUUUAAUUUCUUUUUCUUGUGAAAUAUUUUUUUAAAGAAAAAAAAUAAUCCUCUCAACUUUAUAAUUCUACAAAAAGAAGUGUGAAUGCCAGAUUUGUGUGGGAUGAAGGUAAAUUUAGGACUGUAAGUCAGGCUAAAAGGGAUCACUCUUGUAACAAGGACAAUUUAUAGUGCAAGAUAAGCUAAAAGAUUAUCUAUAGACCAGUGACAAAAAUAAGUGCCAGCCAUUUUCUUUGCAAAUAUGAUUCCUCAGCCAUAGUUUCGGGAGCUAACAUGGUACUACAGCAGCAUCUUAAAAAAUCUUUUCCUCUAGCUCAGAUAAUAGACAUAUUCAAAUUUAGGUUCUUUAAAAAAAAAAAAAAGCCAAGAUUUGGAUGAUAGCUUUAUAUAGAUGUAUAUACAUAUACAUUAUCAUUAAUAUUACUGCCUAUUGGAAAAGUAUUUUCCGUAUGCUAAAUAUUGAUUAGCAACUACUUUGCUACCCUCACAUAUGUAAUUUAUAAUCCUGUUUUUAUCACUGUUUACAAUCCCAUUAUGAUACAAGAAAGGAAUUAAUGCUUUGUUAAUUUUGACAUCUUUUGGGGUCAAGGAGGUAGAAAGAGUGGUUGCUUCGAGUUCCUCUUCCUAUGAGACAUAAAGGCAGAAAUUUACAUCUUGGAAAAACAUAAUUUGUAAUCUACAUAAACACGUGAAACAAAGAAAAUGUUAAAGAAAAAUUAAAAAAUUUUUCCUUUUCAAAGCAAAACACAUUUCUAUAUGUUAUAUAAUGGUAAAAAUCAUUCUUCGUUUUUAAAUUCAGAAACAGUGGAGAAAUAAUGUGUAAGAUGAUCAAAAUACCAAUUGAAGAAAACUAACAGGAAAUAGUGUAUGGUAAUUUCAAUCAUGUUACACUAAAAAAAAAAAAUCACCCUAGUUUUGAAUUAUGUCGGCUAUACUUGGCCAAAUGUUUUUUCUUUUUUUUUUCUUUUUUGAACAGUUUCCUUUCAAUAUGUCAUAUUCUCCAAAACACUCAAUUCCUAUGCUAUCAGAGGCCAUUUUUGGACACUGGUUAGAAGGAAGACACGAGGUCUCACUUUAUAUACAGGCAGCUAUUUGUUUUUUUCCCAUGAAAGUUCAAAAUCACAGACAGCCAUGCACCAGACAAUACUCAAGUGGACUUUGGCAUAAACCAAAAAAUUUCUGUGGGUGAGCAAUUCUGUAGCAGGCCAAACAACUUGUUUGUGAAUGCUCAACUGAACAUAGAAUCUAGAACUCUUCAAGCAUAAAUCCAUAAUUCUGCAUCCAGUUUCAAGCCCCAAAUUAAGAAAGGCUUUGGUAAAUGGGAGCAAGUUCAACAGCAUUCCACCAAGAAGCUCAGGAGGCAGAAGCGCUUGAUGUGAGGACAGGCUGGUCUUGUUCAGCCUGAAGGAAAGAAGGCUUGGGGAAGUCCUGAUAGCAGCUUUCCAAAAUGUAUAAAGAGAUUAUCAAGAUUAAGUCAGGCAUGCAUAGUAAGAGGAUGAGAGACAACAGACUUAAGUGAAAUAAAGCAGCUUUCAACUGGAUAUGAGAAUAAGCUUUUUUUUUCAGGUGAGGAAAGUAAGGCACUGGAACAAAUUGCUGGUAGAGGUGAUGUAUUCUAUAUCUGUGAAGGUUUUCAAGAUGUGUAUGGAUAAAGCCCUAAGCAAUUCAGUCUGACCUCAUAUCUGCGUGGGCUUGGAGCAGGAGCUGGAUUCCUGAGAUCCCUUCAAACCUGAUUAUUUUAUGAUUCUGUAAAUUCCCAAAAUCUCCAACACCACAUGGCAUUGAUAUCAAAGGACUUGUGGCUUCUCACAUUUGUUCAAACUAUUUCCUUAUUGUUUACUGAAACCACCUUUCAGGGCUUGUAAUGUACAUUUUAAACAAACAUUUAAAAAGAAAUUAUUGUAUAAAGAAGUUGGCUACUGUCUAUAUGAUGCAUGCUUUUCAUUUUGCCCUUCAAUCCACAAUUUUCUUCAAAAAUCCUUUUAUCACUCAGGCAGAGGCCCAGUCUUAGCAGCCAUUCUUAUCUUAAGGCUCAAGCCCUGGCAAGUACAUAAAUCAAUGGUAAUGCUCAUGUGCUACUAGUUCAUAUACUGAACUAAAACCCAGAAUCUGAAAUUAAUGGCAAAACCAGUGGAAAGACUUCCAUUGAUGUUAGAAUGCACCACGUCAGUCGAGUCUACAAGUUUGUGUUCUGUUGAAGGAAUCAACCUUGUUACCAGCUGUUUGGUUCUAAAUAUAUGCUUAUCUCUAUUUUUAAAUGCUACUGCUUUUACUAGACAGUUUUAUAUGUCAGAGCAAAGGGCUUUGCCCUUGGUGAAAGACAUGUCUAGAAUAGAGGUUUAAAGCAGUCGACAGAAGCUAGCAACUUUCUGUAGGACUUUAUUGAAUGGACACCAUCAAACAUUUUUCUCUGUAAUUAUAAUCAAACAUAACCGUAACUCUGUAAGUUUAGGGAAGCAAUUAACUUCUACUGUACAUAAGAGAAGUUCCUCAAAAAAUAAACGUUCUGAACAGUC
Long non-coding RNA from Anas platyrhynchos (mallard), 5800 nucleotides. RefSeq lists it as uncharacterized. The record is from RefSeq and is a predicted model, not a curated record. NCBI's taxonomy places the organism in Eukaryota, Metazoa, Chordata, Aves, Anseriformes, Anatidae.